AACGAACGCUGGCGGCGUGCUUAAUACAUGCAAGUCGUACGAGAAAGUCCGGCUUCGGUUGGACGAGUAAAGUGGCGAACGGGUGAGUAACACGUGGAUAAUCUGCCCUUAAAUCCGGGAUAAUCCCCCGAAAGGAGGUCUAAUACCGGAUAAUACCCCUAGGCGGCAUCGCUCUGGGGGUCAAAGACGGGGCAACCUGUUGUUUAAGGAUGAGUCCGCGUCCCAUUAGCUUGUUGGUGAGGUAACGGCUCACCAAGGCUGCGAUGGGUAGCCGGCCUGAGAGGGUGAUCGGCCACACUGGGACUGAGAUACGGCCCAGACUCCUACGGGAGGCAG
RNAcentral lists this ribosomal RNA (336 nucleotides) under uncultured bacterium. RNAcentral describes it as "bacterial SSU rRNA". It matches the Rfam family "Bacterial small subunit ribosomal RNA", at positions 29 to 351 of the family's 1533-position model. The record is from RNAcentral.